This 22-nucleotide unclassified non-coding RNA is filed under the name Mus musculus (house mouse). RNAcentral's name for it is "oocyte_clustered_small_RNA5896". Lineage: Eukaryota; Metazoa; Chordata; Mammalia; Rodentia; Muridae. The record is from RNAcentral.
UCUAGCCCAAAGGUCCAAAGUC